GUAUCCUUACCUGAAUACAUAGGGUAAGGAGGCGAACCGGGGGAACUGAAACAUCUAAGUACCCCGAGGAAAAGAAAUCAACCGAGAUUCCGAAAGUAGCGGCGAGCGAAAUUGGACUAGCCCUUAAGCUUUACACGCGUUAGACGAACGGUCUGGAAAGUCCGACGAUACAGGGUGAUAGUCCCGUAGUUGACGACGUGUGUUCAGUGAAAUCGAGUAGGGCGGGACACGUGAUAUCCUGUCUGAAUAUGGGGGGACCAUCCUCCAAGGCUAAAUACUACUGACUGACCGAUAGUGAACCAGUACCGUGAGGGAAAGGCGAAAAGAACCCCUGUGAGGGGAGUGAAAUAGAACCUGAAACCGUGUACGUACAAGCAGUAGGAGCAGGCUUUGUCCUGUGACUGCGUACCUUUUGUAUAAUGGGUCAGCGACUUAUAUUCAGUGGCAAGGUUAACCAUCUAGGGGAGCCGUAGGGAAACCGAGUCUUAACUGGGCGUUCAGUCUCUGGAUAUAGACCCGAAACCAGGUGAUCUAGCCAUGGGCAGGUUGAAGGUUGAGUAACAUCAACUGGAGGACCGAACCGACUAAUGUUGAAAAAUUAGCGGAUGACUUGUGGCUAGGGGUGAAAGGCCAAUCAAACCUGGAGAUAGCUGGUUCUCCCCGAAAGCUAUUUAGGUAGCGCCUCGGACGAAUACUACUGGGGGUAGAGCACUGUUAAGGCUAGGGGGUCAUCCCGACUUACCAACCCUUUGCAAACUCCGAAUACCAGUAAGUACUAUCCGGGAGACACACGGCGGGUGCUAACGUCCGUCGUGGAGAGGGAAACAACCCAGACCGCCAGCUAAGGUCCCAAAUUACUACUAAGUGGGAAACGAUGUGGGAAGGCUCAGACAGCCAGGAUGUUGGCUUAGAAGCAGCCAUCAUUUAAAGAAAGCGUAAUAGCUCACUGGUCGAGUCGGCCUGCGCGGAAGAUGUAACGGGGCUAAGUAGUAAACCGAAGCUGCGGCAAUGUGCUUUUGCACAUUGGGUAGGGGAGCGUUCUGUAAGCGGUUGAAGGUGUGUGGUAACGCAUGCUGGACGUAUCAGAAGUGCGAAUGCUGACAUGAGUAACGAUAAAGGGGGUGAAAAACCUCCUCGCCGGAAGACCAAGGGUUCCUGUCCAACGUUAAUCGGGGCAGGGUAAGUCGACCCCUAAGGCGAGGCCGAAAGGCGUAGUCGAUGGGAAACGGGUUAAUAUUCCCGUACUUCUUACAAUUGCGAUGGGGGGACGGAGAAGGCUAGGUGGGCCUGGCGACGGUUGUCCAGGUUCAAGUGCGUAGGCUUGAGAGUUAGGUAAAUCCGGCUCUUUUUAAGGCUGAGACACGACGUCGAGCACCUACGGGUGUGAAGUCAUUGAUGCCAUGCUUCCAGGAAAAGCCUCUAAGCUUCAGAUUGUAAGGAAUCGUACCCCAAACCGACACAGGUGGUCGGGUAGAGAAUACCAAGGCGCUUGAGAGAACUCGGGUGAAGGAACUAGGCAAAAUGGUACCGUAACUUCGGGAGAAGGUACGCUCUCGACGGUGAAGUCCCUCGCGGAUGGAGCUAUUGAGAGUCGCAGAUACCAGGUGGCUGCAACUGUUUAUUAAAAACACAGCACUGUGCAAAAUCGUAAGAUGACGUAUACGGUGUGACGCCUGCCCGGUGCCGGAAGGUUAAUUGAUGGGGUUAGACUUCGGUCGAAGCUCUUGAUCGAAGCCCCGGUAAACGGCGGCCGUAACUAUAACGGUCCUAAGGUAGCGAAAUUCCUUGUCGGUAAGUUCCGACCUGCACGAAUGGCGUAAUGAUGGCCACGCUGUCUCCACCCGAGACUCAGUGAAAUUGAAAUCGCUGUGAAGAUGCAGUGUACCCGCGGCUAGACGGAAAGACCCCGUGAACCUUUACUACAGCUUGGCACUGAACAUUGACCCUACAUGUGUAGGAUAGGUGGGAGGCUUUGAAGCACGUACGCCAGUAUGUGUGGAGCCGUCCUUGAAAUACCACCCUUGUAGUGUUGAUGUUCUAACGUCGACCCCUUAUCGGGGUUGCGGACAGUGCCUGGUGGGUAGUUUGACUGGGGCGGUCUCCUCCCAAAGAGUAACGGAGGAGCACGAAGGUGGGCUAAUCACGGUUGGACAUCGUGAGGUUAGUGCAAUGGCAUAAGCCCGCUUGACUGCGAGAAUGACAAUUCGAGCAGGUGCGAAAGCAGGUCAUAGUGAUCCGGUGGUUCUGAAUGGAAGGGCCAUCGCUCAACGGAUAAAAGGUACUCCGGGGAUAACAGGCUGAUACCGCCCAAGAGUUCAUAUCGACGGCGGUGUUUGGCACCUCGAUGUCGGCUCAUCACAUCCUGGGGCUGAAGUCGGUCCCAAGGGUAUGGCUGUUCGCCAUUUAAAGUGGUACGCGAGCUGGGUUUAGAACGUCGUGAGACAGUUCGGUCCCUAUCUGCCGUGGGCGUUGGAAGAUUGAAGGGGGCUGCUCCUAGUACGAGAGGACCGGAGUGGACGAACCUCUGGUGUUCGGGUUGUGUCGCCAGACGCAUUGCCCGGUAGCUAAGUUCGGAAUCGAUAACCGCUGAAAGCAUCUAAGCGGGAAGCGAGCCCUGAGAUGAGUCUUCCCUGAUACUUUAAGUAUCCUAAAGGGUUGUCGGAGACUACGACGUUGAUAGGUCAGGUGUGUAAGUGCUGUGAGGCAUUGAGCUAACUGAUACUAAUUGCCCGUGAGGCUUAACCAUACAACACCCAAGGGGUUU
Molecule: ribosomal RNA, 2764 nt
Filed under: Vibrio parahaemolyticus
Lineage: Bacteria; Pseudomonadati; Pseudomonadota; Gammaproteobacteria; Vibrionales; Vibrionaceae
Description: bacterial LSU rRNA
Rfam family: Bacterial large subunit ribosomal RNA
Source: RNAcentral